RNAcentral lists this ribosomal RNA (291 nucleotides) under uncultured Bacteroidales bacterium. Its description in RNAcentral is "partial 16S ribosomal RNA". It matches the Rfam family "Bacterial small subunit ribosomal RNA", at positions 58 to 339 of the family's 1533-position model. Lineage: Bacteria; Pseudomonadati; Bacteroidota; Bacteroidia; Bacteroidales. The record is from RNAcentral.
CAAGUCGAGGGGAAACGACAUCGAAAGCUUGCUUUCGGUGGGCGUCGACCGGCGCACGGGUGAGUAACGCGUAUCCAACCUGCCCACCACUUGGGGAUAACCUUUCGAAAGAAAGAUUAAUACCUGAUAGUAUGGUGAGAUUGCAUGAUAGCACCAUUAAAGAUUUAUUGGUAAACGAUGGGGAUGCGUUCCAUUAGGUAGUAGGCGGGGUAACGGCCCACCUAGCCGACGAUGGAUAGGGGUUCUGAGAGGAAGGUCCCCACAUUGGAACUGAGACACGGUCCAAACUCC